RNAcentral lists this ribosomal RNA (483 nucleotides) under uncultured bacterium. RNAcentral describes it as "partial 16S ribosomal RNA". It matches the Rfam family "Bacterial small subunit ribosomal RNA", at positions 28 to 523 of the family's 1533-position model. The record is from RNAcentral.
GACGAACGCUGGCGGCGUGCUUAACACAUGCAAGUCGAACGAUGAAGCUGGAGCUUGCUCCGGUGGAUUAGUGGCGAACGGGUGAGUAAUACGUGAGCAAUCUGCCCUUCACUCUGGGAUAACUGCGGGAAACUGUAGCUAAUACCGGAUACGAGGCUUGGAGGCAUCUCCAGGUCUGGAAAGAAUUUCGGUGAAGGAUGAGCUCGCGGCCUAUCAGCUUGUUGGUGAGGUAAUGGCUCACCAAGGCGACGACGGGUAGCCGGCCUGAGAGGGUGACCGGCCACACUGGGACUGAGACACGGCCCAGACUCCUACGGGAGGCAGCAGUGGGGAAUAUUGCACAAUGGGCGAAAGCCUGAUGCAGCAACGCCGCGUGAGGGAUGAAGGCCUUCGGGUUGUAAACCUCUUUUAGCAGGGAAGAAGCGAAAGUGACGGUACCUGCAGAAAAAGCACCGGCUAACUACGUGCCAGCAGCCGCCGCCG